GACGAACGCUGGCGGCGUGCUUAACACAUGCAAGUCGAGCGGUAAGGCCCUUUCGGGGGUACACGAGCGGCGAACGGGUGAGUAACACGUGGGUGACCUGCCCUCAGCUCUGGGAUAAGCCUGGGAAACCGGGUCUAAUACCGGAUAUGACUCCAUGACGCAUGUUGUGGGGUGGAAAGCCUUGUGCGGCUGAGGAUGGGCCCGCGGCCUAUCAGCUUGUUGGUGGGGUGAUGGCCUACCAAGGCGACGACGGGUAGCCGGCCUGAGAGGGCGACCGGCCACACUGGGACUGAGACACGGGCCCAGACUCCUACGGGAGGGCAGCAGUGGGGAAUCUUGCGCAAUGGGCGAAAGCCUGACGCAGCGACGCCGCGUGAGGGA
This 381-nucleotide ribosomal RNA is filed under the name uncultured bacterium. RNAcentral's name for it is "bacterial SSU rRNA". It matches the Rfam family "Bacterial small subunit ribosomal RNA", at positions 28 to 408 of the family's 1533-position model. The record is from RNAcentral.